Molecule: ribosomal RNA, 230 nt
Filed under: uncultured bacterium
Lineage: Bacteria
Description: partial 16S ribosomal RNA
Rfam family: Bacterial small subunit ribosomal RNA
Source: RNAcentral
AAAGCGCGCGUAGGCGGCUAAUUAAGUCAAAUGUGAAAUCCCCGAGCUUAACUUGGGAAUUGCAUUCGAUACUGGUUAGCUAGAGUGUGGGAGAGGAUGGUAGAAUUCCAGGUGUAGCGGUGAAAUGCGUAGAGAUCUGGAGGAAUACCGAUGGCGAAGGCAGCCAUCUGGCCUAACACUGACGCUGAGGUGCGAAAGCAUGGGGAGCAAACAGGAUUAGAUACCCUGGU